Non-coding RNA from Podarcis lilfordi (Lilford's wall lizard), 70 nucleotides. Lineage: Eukaryota; Metazoa; Chordata; Lepidosauria; Squamata; Lacertidae. The record is from the annotation of a GenBank genome assembly.
GCCAUAGCUCAGUGGUAGAGCAUCUGCUUUGCAUGCAGAAUGUCCCAGGUUCGAUCCCCAGAAUCUCGCA